RNAcentral lists this ribosomal RNA (1319 nucleotides) under metagenome. RNAcentral describes it as "bacterial SSU rRNA". It matches the Rfam family "Archaeal small subunit ribosomal RNA", at positions 119 to 1445 of the family's 1478-position model. The record is from RNAcentral.
GUCAGGGAUAGCCUUGGGAAACUGAGGGUAAUACCUGAUAGGAAGAUACUUCUGGAAAGAUGUUCUUUUUAAACGUCAGGCCUAAAGAUGAGUCGGCGGCGGAUUAGGCUGUUGGUGGGGUAAUGGCCCACCAAACCGAAGAUCCGUAUGGGCCUUGAGAGAGGUAACCCAGAGAAGGACACUGAGAUACUGGUCCUAGCCCUACGGGGUGCAGCAGGCGCGAAACCUUUACAAUGCACGAAAGUGUGAUAAGGGAACCCUCAGUGCUCAUGCUUAGCAUGGGCUUUUGUUAAGUGUAAAUAGCUUGGCGAAUAAGUGGUGGGUAAGACUGGUGCCAGCCGCCGCGGUAACACCAGCGCCACAAGUGGGGGCCAUUAUUAUUGGGUCUAAAGCGUUCGUAGCCGGUUAAGUAAAUCUUUUGUGAAAUUGUCAGACUCAAUUUGACAGAUUGCAGAAGACACUGCAUAACUAGGGACCGGGAGGAGCCAGGAGUAUUUAAGGGGGAGCGGUAAAAUGCUAUAAUCCCUUGAAGACUACCUGUGGCGAAGGCGCCUGGCCAGAACGGAUCCGACGGUGAGGAACGAAAGCUAGGGGAGCAAUCCGGAUUAGAUACCCGAGUAGUCCUAGCCGUAAACGCUGCGUGCUAGGUGUUGCGUAUUCUACUUGAAUGCGCAGUGUCAAAGCGAAGGCAAUAAGCACGCCACCUGGGAAGUACGGUCGCAAGGCUGAAACUUAAAGGAAUUGGCGGGGGAGCACUACAAGGGGUGCGGCGUGCGGUUUAAUCUAAUUCAACACAGAAAAUCUCACCAGAAGCGACGGCAGAAUGAAAGUCAGAUUAAAGGUUUUACUUGACGAGCCGAGAGGUAGUGCAUGGCCGCCGUCAGCUCGUACCGUGAGGUGUCCUGUUAAGUCAGGCAACGAGCGAGACCUGUAUCCAUAAUUGCUAGCAGCUUCUUCGGAAGGACUGAGCACUUUAUGGGGACUGCCUUGGAAACAAGGAGGAAGGUGCAGGCUACGGUAGGUCUGUAUGCUCCGAAUCUUCUGGGCUACACGCGCGCAACAAUGGUAAGGACAAUGGGAUACAACUCCGAAAGGAGAAGUUAACCCUCUAAACCUUAUCUUAGUUCAGAUCGAGGAUUGUAACUCAUCCUCGUGACGAUGGAAUCCCUAGUAAUCGGAUUUCAUCAGAGUCCGGUGAAUAUGUCCCUCUCCUUGCACACACCGCCCGUCAAACCAACCGAGCAGGGUUUGGGUGAGUACUAGCUUUUUGGCUAAGCCGAACCCAAGCUCAGUAAGGUGGGUUAAGUCGUCACAAGGUA